GGGUGUGCUGUUCCUUAGGCUGUCGAGGCUGUCUCCUACCAGACAGAAACCGAGGUCCAAGGAAGAGGAGGGGAGAGUUUCGGAGCCAAAUGUUUUUCCUCCAGCUAGACUUUACACCCGCCCCCACCAGCUGCCCCAGUCUUAGCGGACUUUGAUGUGUCUGAGCUUUAAGAAUCCUCAUUCUACUUUGUAACCCCAGCAACUUCCUCACGUAGGACCAAGUGCCAGUGAGCAAGGAGCAGCUGCUGCAGCAGCCAUCACCCACAGAGGAGCAUCUUCAUCCAGUAACCCUCUGCGUGCCACUGUGUGUCUGUGCCUGAUUCAGAGAUGGCACCGAUCCUUAGGACUUGGAAAAGACUGAAAGUGAAGGAAACAAAGUACAUGAAAGAGCUGAGGCCAGCACGUAAGGAAUCUGAGUCUCUUGAAGCCCCUUGGUCUCCAUGAGUCCUUAGAGAUGCUAAGCGAGGCAUAACUCAGCGUUGACAGUCCAGGAAGGUCCUGCUUCUCUCACGAUUAAGGGAACCAUCUACUUCAGUGUGUCUACACUAUCGGUGGAACAUCCAGUGGUCCUUAUAGUCCACCCAAGACCAAUGGACCACAGGGUAGAACCACCUUCAAACUUGCAGGGUUGAACCAAGGUCAGAGAAGCCC
RNAcentral lists this long non-coding RNA (651 nucleotides) under Mus caroli (Ryukyu mouse). RNAcentral describes it as "lncRNA (MGP_CAROLIEiJ_G0004143.1)". Lineage: Eukaryota; Metazoa; Chordata; Mammalia; Rodentia; Muridae. The record is from RNAcentral.